Molecule: long non-coding RNA, 4722 nt
Organism: Passer domesticus (house sparrow)
Lineage: Eukaryota; Metazoa; Chordata; Aves; Passeriformes; Passeridae
Exons: 3
Source: RefSeq, a predicted model, not a curated record
UCGGCCCGCUGAGGGGAGCGCGUCGUGCUUAGCAGGGCAGGAGAGCCCUGGCUUUUCCACGGGUGCUCUCGGCGGGUUUGCCUUGGAAGCCGCUGAGUGAGCUUCCACCUGCACGCUUGGGGAGGAGUAAACUGUGCCGUGUGCCGUAGGAAAGGGGGCACCUCAUCUUUAGCACGUUUGCAAUAAGUUGACCACGGAAAUUUUUUGCAAUAAAACACUGAAAUUGAAAGGCUGAUGAGUAGCCUGGCUCUGUUCUCAAUUGGAAAUGUUAUUAACACAUUUCUUACAAGAACCUUAAAGGCGCCACAAAAAUACGAACCACGCCACCUGGAGAAUCUGGGGUGCCUCAUUUGACAGGCAGCAAGUGCAUAUGUCUGAACUUACUGAACUUACCGAAUCAGUGUUGAGAAGUCUGUGGCAGAGCUGAGAUUUCAGCUUACCAUUUUUUAGCAUCACUGAGUUGCCAGUGAGUCCUGAAGUGCUGCUUCCCCACUUCCCUCAGCGAAGUGGAAACCCACGUGAGGCAGCGUGUGCUGCAGCUGCCCAUCGUGCCCCGUCUGUGCUUCCCGUGGUCACUGGAGCUGACACCUUCCUGAUCCUUUAAACCCUGGAGCGGCGUGGCCUAACCUCCAAAGGCCCUGCAAAGGCUCACGUCUCAUGGAAAAAAGCACUCUGUACAGCUGAUCUUUUCCUAUGUGCUCUGGCCUCUUCCAUGGGAAGUGGUACUGUGGCUCUCCAUAGGGCCAUGGCUCUUUUGCACACAGGCAUUUUGGACAUUCCGAAGCAAGGCCAAAGCCAAGGUCCUGCCUGGCUGAAAGCAGCUGCAAAAACGCCAGGUUGGAUACAUUUGAAGGCGUGUACAAUUGAAGGUGUAGGAAAAAAACCAUCUCCCUGGAGCCCCAUGCCAGCUCAGCAGCACCCACUCCCUGCAGGGAGCACAGCCAGGCAGGGGUGGAGCACAGCAACCAGCAGAGCAUAGAGGCUCAGUGCCACCCUCAUGCUCAAGACCCAUAGGGGCCAUUGACCCUCCUGUGGGACAUUGCAGUCCUGCAGAAUGACAUUCCCUUAAAUGAACUAAGAUGGUGCUGUCACAUGUGGCAUUAGCCCCAGGGAGAGCCAUCACAGGGCACCCAGCUGCAACGACACCCGGCUUCCCACUGGGUGCUUUUAUGCCUCUGUGAUGAAGCUUGUGAGAGAUCACCCAGACAGCUGAGCUCUGCCAAGGUAGAAGGACUGGAGCAGGAACCUGCCCGCACUCAGGCUUAUACUAAAAUAACUGAAAUGGCUUAAUUCAUACCUUUGAUUAUUUUGGUACAACUCCUCGUGGGGAAGCCAAAGUUAGAACAAAAGCAUUCUAUUUUAAUUUAGUGUAAUUAUAGCCUGUCUAUCUAGAAGAGCUGAAUUGCUUUAGUAAUACUACUGCAGCUAAUUCCCUAGAGUAUGGAUGCAGUUGUGCCGGGAUAAUGUUGAUUUGCCUUAUUUUUGUGGGAAAGGGGAAAAACAUUUAUGUGCACUGCAGGCUCUUUGCAAACAGCUGCAGCUGGUUGAAAGGUUACUGCCAUGGCAGCUUGUUGCCACACUUGAUCUUGGGUUUGCUGCCUCCAUAACAGAGCCAUAGAGCAAGUGUGCUCCACAGCCACCUGGCUGCAAAAUCACAGCAUUUCAUUCAGUAUUAGGUGCCUGCAGCCCAGCAGGUGUCCCACUGAAAAGCCUGAGAUUACUGUGUGGCUGCUGUGCUGUAAUGGUGAGGGAGCUCAGAGCUAUCUGUGGUGUGGUAACAUCUUGAAUGGUGAUGCUGUUUCAACAGUAUUAGCUCAGUAUUAGAGUAAUGCAGGUGACAAAUCACAUCCCUGAUCAAAGUCAGGUACCAACCCCAGCAACCAAAAUUGCCACAGGUUCUCCUUUUCCUUAAAGGGAGACACAAGGAAAAUUGAUUAAUUGCACAGAGGCUUGUGUCCCUUCUUCUGAAUUGAAAACAAGUCACCUUUCAGUGAAACUGUGAAGAUAGUCAGGAUCUGCUUAAAAUAAGGAAUAUCUUUAGUUAUUUCUGGUGAACUGCAUGGAGUAUGGAGACUGGAUACUGUUAUUUCUGGUGCAUUUCCUCCCUACUGCUCUGUGCAGGGGGCAGAGCCACAUUUGCAGCCCAGUGUCUCUUUCCAGUGCAUGCCUAGCUGUGUCUCUGCACCAGACAAGGCAUUGCUGGCAAGAGGCAUGCACAUUGGGAUGAGGUACAGCUUUUCAGGAUCUAGUUCCCUCAGAGUUCAUUCUUCAAGCUCUGAGCAGCACCCAAGAAAGUUGUCUCCUGCACACAUGAGCUUUGAUAGAAAAGCCCAUUGUGCCUGAGGAGCGGAGCUGUCAAGAGGAGUCUCCAUCUCCAAGCCAAGAUUUGUGUUACCCUUCUGCCAGAGCCCAGCAGCUGGUAGUUUUCCAUCUCCUGAAAUCCAGAGGAAUUUUCCACCUCAGGGAACAAGAAAUUGGAGAAAAGUCAAUAGACCAGACUAGCUUCAUACCACAUUUAUGCAAGGAAAGAAAUAAAAAGAGCACUAUAAUUAUAUUUUAACUACCUUUUACUCUCAGCAGCAUCCCAUAAAUCAGGUAUCUUGAUAGUACUGUGGAACAGCAUAUGAUGUUGGAAGUCAACAUGCAGUAAGUAUGCUGACAGUAAAUGCAGUAAAGACUGUAAGCUGGUUGGCUUUGGCCAUCUUGGGCAGUGUGUCCUGACAUGAUGAAGUCAUGACAGCAGAUGAAUUUAUAUCCAUUUUGUCCAGUUUUGGCAAAGAAGAGGUGAGCAGAUGUACUGCAAUCUGUGACACCAUGCCAGGAUGUAGCCCAGCCGAGGGCACAAGGAUGUGCAAGCCAUGUCACCCCUUACUGGCAAUGGCAAGUGGCAAAUUUAUGUCCUGGAUCAAUGCUGUGACAAGAACUCACUAAGACAAAAGAUGCAUAACCACAAGGAAAACUCCUGUAGGUGGGAGAUGAGAGGGCGAGCAAUAUGCACUGGGUGAGGACUCAUUUGAACGGCACCGAAAGAUGACGUGAGAAAUCUCCUCAUGCAACGCUGCAAGCAAAAAAAUGCCACUUGUACAUUUUUAAACACCUUCAGCAGACAAGUACAGCUGAUGCAUUGAGCCAAAAACUUGAAAAGCUUGACAAGGAGACAGAUGAGGGAGUGAGGCAGCACGCUCUGAACAUGACGUGCUGGACUGCGGCUUGUUCAGGGGAAGGAUAUGGCCUGCUGUGCAGGACUGUCACCAAGAUAUUGAUCUUUACCAAGAAGAGCAACCCCAAGUUCUGGAAAAAUAUCCAUCUGUGAUGACUCCAUCCAUUUUUCAAAGAGUUGGAUCCCUGUGACUCAACUGAGCCGAUCAUUGGCAGGCAGAUUGGAGCCCCUUUUUUCAGAGAUAAUCUGGAGAGGGAGGAAGUCCAAGAGCUAAACUGGAGGAGAAGAAAACAUACUUGGAUAAUGUGCUGCACACUGGUAGGAGAGAUGGAGGAAGACAGCUGAGCAGAGAAAAGGCAGCUCAGUUUGGACACAUCUCUGAGGAGCCAGAGCAGAGCUGCCUGCACUGGAAAUGGGUGUGGUAUCUGCAGCACAGAUACUUUUUGCCAGACUGGCUGUCAGCCAGCAGGUGAAUCCCCUUAUUAGUUUUCCUCAGCUGGCACAACCCCACUAGUUCCCCAGGUGGACUCCCAAUACAGCUGUCAAAAUCCUAGUCUGCCAUGCUUCUGUUCUUUAAGGGUUCUUUCCAGCAGCAGGGAAAACUUUCCUUUCUCCUAUGCAUUCCCUUCCCUGUUAGAGCCUACUAGUGAAUAACACCUCUCACUGGGCCGUACACAUCCUUGUAUGAGGGGUCAAACCAGCUUCCUAAUGGGACCCUUCACUUUUGUUAACAAUACUGGGAUGUGAGGAGAGCAGAGAGAUCUGUCUGCUCUGCAGGGAUGCUCCCAUGCUUGCUUCUGUACCCUCCCACCCCUGAAAGCUUGGCCCAGCCAAUAAUUCUGUGCUGAUCUGCCUCUGCAGAGGGUUUGUCCCAUGCAUUUUUAGAUGGUAACUGAAAGUCUGAAAACAUCAACUGGUCUUAGUGUUAUCUCUUUUGGAGCCAGCCACUUCCUCUUGGUAUCAAACUUGGAAGAACCCCAUAGCCACUGCUGAAAAGCCUUUUCCCUUUCCACAUUUAAAGAUCUUUUUCAAAAUGGUGCUAGGAUGUCCUUGGUGGGGAUUGAAAGGCUUGGAACAAGCCAAUGCAAGUGUUAGUUUUACUGAAAGUGAGCAGGAUGUUCUUCCCUGAUAGCUGCCUGUCUUUAAGGGAAGGAAUUGCAGGAAAGCAUCCACAGCUCCAGGGCAGCUUAGCAGAGGAGGAAAGUCAUGCCUUUUUUUGUGCUUCGUGAUAAACAAAGGCAGGAAAGCAAAGAACAGGAUUCACUUGGUGUGGAGCAAACCUUGCCAUCCACAACACCACUGUCCUGGCUCAGGUGUAUGUGGAGGCUCCCAUAGUUCUCUGGCUUAGAGAGCCAGCUAUGUCGAUCCCACAUCCCUGCUGCUGGCAGCCACAGCUGGGGAGGGGCAGGCACUUCUCAACGCACCAUGCUCCACCCCACAAUCUGCUUUGGGAGAGAACUGUGAGCAGCUUUGGUAUACUGGAAAGCAGUUACACAGGCAUUAUAUUUCUCUUUUCAGGGACAGAAUGAAAACUUCCAGUUCCCAAAUCUGCAGGACAGCAC